GGGCACAACGGCUGAGACAGGAGUUCAGAGCCGGCCUCAACAACAUAGUAGGGCCCUUAACAACUCAAUGAGACCCUGUUUCUAAAUAAAAUACAAACAAUGGGCUGGAGAUGUGGCUCAGUGGUUGAGUGGCCCACGGUUCAACCCCCAUUAUCAGAACAAAACCAAAAACAAAACAAAAAAAUAAAACCCCAAAUCUCCACCCUCAAUGGUAUCAAAAUAUACAAAAAUAAAUUCUUGGUGAACUACAGCUCUAAAUGUGAACAGAGAAAUAACAGAAAACUUACAAGGUAACAGAAGAUACUUUCCUGAACUUGGGGUCAGAAAAGAGCUUAAUGCCUUUAAUAAGAGCAUGAUAACCAAAAACAGCCUUUACUCCCAGGGGCCAGCGGUAAGUACUCAGUACAGCCAGGCCUGCACCCUGGGGUUACUUUUGGGAGGGCAGCCCAGGGUUCUUGGGGUUGUAGCCCACAUUGCCACCAGCAAGGGAAAGAGGUCAGAGUGCUCUGCGACAAGGAAUCCCAGUUAGAUGGAGAGGGUUGCAUGUCGACGUGCGUGGGACAUACUGACUGAUGGGUUCCCAAAGCAGCUCGCUGCACUAAAGGCCCUGGCUCCCAAGGCACUUAGGAGCAGUGACACCCCGCGGCGAGGAUUGUGAGGAAUCUUGGUUUCUAACACCAUUUUCCAAAACAGCAGGCAGUACUCCUGGGAAAGGCUGAUUGAAGGAUGGCAGAACUCCGUGGAGAAGAAUUCCAAAUAAAGUUUGCACAUGUUCUGUCUUCCUCCAUGUAGGCUGUGUGAGCUGACUUGCUCCCACGGGAUGCGGUAGGGGUAGCAGGAGGCAGGAUCUCUGUACAGGGAAAAACCUGACGGCAGUCAUGCUCAGGGUCAGCACCAGCCAUGACCCCUGGAGGCCUGUACCCUCCGUGAGCCGCCAGUGCUCCUGCCUCUGCCCGUCUUCUGUGCAGUUCAGGAACCGGGCUCAUUCCUAUGGUCCCCGAAACCCAGGAGGCUGAGGAGGGAGGGUCACAAGUUCGAGGCCAGCCUCAGCAAGUCAGCAAGAUCCUGUCUCAAAAUAAAUAAUAAAAAGGGCUGGAGAUGUGGUCAGUGGUAGAGCGCUUCAGGGUUCAAGCCCCAGUACUGAAAAAAGGAAAACGAAAACCUAGAGAGAGAAGGAGGAGGAGAAUGGAGUUGGGGGAAGGGAGAGGAGGGGAGAAGGGGGAAGGCAAGGAGGUGGAGAGGACAGCGAGGGAGGGCGGGCAAAGAAAGGUGAGGUUCGGCCCAGGCCUCCGCCACACAGCCUGCCCGGGCCGGCUGGGCCUGGCUAGCCAGAGUCCUCCACGCCCAGCCCCAAGCCCCGCCUGUGGCGCCCCCCACUCCCCAACCCCGGCAUUCAAGGAGCAUGCGCAAGAGCCGGUGUCCAGAGCGGACCGCGCGAGGCCUCCAGUCUGCAGCUGGAAGAAGGGUGUGCGGAGGCCAGUCUCCAGGACAGGCGCUCCCGGGAAGUGCUGCUGCAGAGCGCACGCUGAAAGUUAAAAGGCUUCUGGCUCCAGCGCCGGCGGGCAGCAGGACCUGGGACCUCGCAGGCAGGGUUUCCUGUCCGCGCCAGGGAAGUGGACGAGGCCAGGCGGAGCUGCAAGGUAUCUUCUGUUCCACUGAGCACUGUGGCCAUGGUGCGGGGCGGGGCCCGCGGGCCAGCUUCUGCGGUGGGAGCCGCCUGGCCAGGGUCAUUGCCCAGGCCUCGAAAAGCGCGCAGUUUGCAACUCUGGCAACCGAUGUCCUUCCACUCUGAGUGUGCAUCAUUGUCUCGGAGAACAGCUGGCAGGACUGCUGCCCGCUGCUCUUAGCCAGGAUGACCCCACCUGGCUGCUCGCCUUUGUCCCCAAGGCGGACUAUCCAGAGCAGAGCAUCUGGCCUACAGGUCAGCCACGGAGGGCUCCAGCGGGGGACAAGACACCGUCACUGCGGAUGGCAUGCAUCCCUCCGGGGCCUGUUCACCAGGCGAGCAAGCAGGCUGGUCGUGAGUGUGCGCUAGGAGCUGGGUGGAGCCCGGAUUUCUAGACGGUCUCCUAUCUGGGCCUCCUGAAAAAUAAGUGGAGACCCCCUUCCAGUGUGUUGAGCGGCUGACCCGCGCUGCCCCUUGCCUGGUGGAGGAGAAGGCUGGUCCCCAGGAAGCUGUGCACCACGGAGCAGACUGUGUGUUUUUGCUGGAAUAUAAUUGGUGAAAUGGCUUGUUGUUUGUUUUUGUGGUAUUGGGCAUGGAUCCCAGGGCCUCCAGCAAGCAGGCUAGGUGAGGCUCUGCCACGAGAUACCUCCCCAGCCCGGGGGUUGGGUUUUAAAAAAGCAACAGGAGGUUAAUUUUUUUUUUUUUUUUUUGCCAUUUCAUUCCAAUCUCGACCGAAUCAGGAUUUAAAGUAGUUUAUUAUGGAAUACUGUGGCACUAACUUAAAGAAAAGGUGAGGUAAGUAUGUAAAUCAUCCAAUAGAAAAGUAAAGUAAAAUCUUGAACGUGUUUUACAAAAGCCAAAACCAAACAAAACGAAAAAACCCCAACAACAAACAAACAGAAAACCAAAAAAGCUGGGAAAGUCUGAGAAUCUGGUGGUCUAGAGGGGCCCAGGAGGUGGGGUGACUAAGGCCAUGUGUGGCCUGGGGUCCUGAGGCAGAAGGAGGACAUGGGUGGAACUGAGGAAGUCCCGAUAAAGCCUGACUUCAGUGAGUGCUGCUGUGUCCCUGUGGGCUCCUGAGUGGUACCAAGUGGGCCCGGCUAUUGCAAGACCACCUCAUGCAGAACAUUGGGUGGGGGCUCAUGGGAACUCUCACCGUCCCCGAGGCUUUUCUGCGACUCGGAAGCCACUCUAAGAUUAUAAAAGCUUAUUCAAAAUAUCCUUCUCAGGAGUGAAAAGGAAAGCCGCCGAGUGUGAGAAAGAAAUUCGUAAUCAACCAGGUAAAAGGGAAGAUGGCUGCAGAAUGGUCAAAAAGUAAAGAGCAAAAGUUCUUCUGUGAGCUUUUGAAAGUUUCCCAAAGGGGUAAAUUUUCUAGAGCUGGACCUUCCAGAGGGAAUACUUUUCUGGAAGCUAACAAUACUUUACAAGGUUGAGAAACACUAAAUUGACCAGUCUGCCUCUUCAGCUGGACUUAGAAAAUUUACAACCAACCAGGACCGAGUUGGUGUCCAAGUUCCAGGGUUACCUCAGUCCUGUUUAACUUCUCUAAAGACUGUUCCUUUUUGUUAGGAAAGCCUCAGACCUGCUCCACCUCUGUGGAGCGUUCAUUCACUCUAGUUCAACUGGGUUUGAAAAAUAUAUCCAGAAUAAAAGGAUCUUUGCUUUAACCUUGUUUGUGAUUUCUUGGUUUGCAAAUAAAUGUGAUUGAUAAGGGACUUACAUCAGUCGGAGUCCUGCUGGAUGAAAGCAAGUAUACCUUUCAUUUGGACAGAGAGCAGUUAAUAUAAGAAAUAAUAUAUAAGUCCAAAGCUGUUCAAUAUAUAACUUCCAGAAUAAAAAAGAACUUGAAUACAUCUUAAAGAUAGCAAACGCAACAGAUAACCACCACCACCCCUAAGGAUGGGGACCAGUGCAAGAGGUUGGAUUAAUGGAAACUUGAAGAGACAGAGGUGGGACCCCAGGGGGGUGUGCUGGCUGUCUUGGGGUCUUUGGUUGAGAGCAGCCUCCCAGGGGAGGAGAUAGGAGGGAAAAGGGGAGGAUGAUGAGCUGAAAUCGAAUUCCAUGCCUAUAUGAGUUUUUUUUUUGGGGGGGCGGGGGAUGAACCCAACUACUUUGUAAAACUCUAAAGCUCUAAAGAGGGUCCUGGGAGGUCUGGACCUGGAGCUCAGAGGAAGGCGCCAGAGAGUUGGGGCUGGUGUCCCUGAGUGGGGCGACACGAUAAAGUGGAUCUUGUGCACGUUGGGUAAACUACAAACUAGAUUCGACUGCUUUAGGAAACAAGGCACAAGGGAGCAGGAAGCACCCUGCUGCUCCCGAGGUGAGGGAGUCCAGGGGACGUGGCCCCCGGGAGCAGACGGAAGAGAGACAGGUGGCCGCUCCCAUUCCUCCGCAAGGCGACACCUAGCUCCCUUCUGAUGGAGCUGAACACGCACCGGCCAAGGGUCACUGAGGUUUGCAGGGUGCCUGUCCCUGCAUCACAGAGCAGAGCAUAAGAGAUGCACAGAGACGUGUUUGGGUGAAGGGCCCGAGGUGACAGGCAAUGGCACCUGGCAAGUCCACCCCUCGAUCUAUCCUUUCCAUGUGUACAUUUCGUCAUGGCUUUGUACUUCCACAUUUCAAAAGCAAAACAAUUUUGUACCUCACAGGACACAACUACUUUCCUACAGGUGUGGAACAGUCUGUCCUCCCCCACCCCAGGAAAGAGCGGUGAGUCCCCAGUCUGAGCUCCCUCUUCUGGGCUGUGAAUUGCUCUUUUUAUCUCUCCUGCCCAGAUAUGCUCUUACCUGAGACUAAACCGCAAAGUUAACUUUCAGCAACAGUCACCGACCUCAACAGGGGAAUGAGGGGUAAAAGAGCAGCUAGAGACAAGUGUGCACACAGUCAAGAGGCCAGCGAGCAGCGGAGGUGUCAUGCGCAGAGCUCACUGCAGCUGGCUCCGGUCCGCCUCUGGUUCAAGCAUGAGCUUCAUCCAGGAGAGAGGACCUCCAGCCUCACAUGGUGGUUUGGUGGUGUCCCCCAGGGGUGCACACCAAACUCCCCAGGGGUCAGCCUACUGCACAGGCUCUUCUGGGUGGCAGGGCCCGUGGAGAGGCUGGCGACUUCCCUGGGCAGAGGCCAUUGUGGCACAUCUUGCUCAAGAGUGAGAUCCUUGUGGAUCCAUGUCACAGAGGACGACUGUGGUGGUCAGCAGACAUUCCCGAGCACAGGAUGGAGGAGUCCAGGGCAGGGAUGGCUGCACGGCUAUUCCAGUGAGAAUGAUCGUCAUCCCUCCACGUGGGCGAAGUCUGUGCCUCUGGCGGCCGCCCCUGCGGGCUGCUUCCACAGGUGGUGGCGCCACGCUGGCGCUCAGUGAUGGCCGGUCAGGCAGUGACCAGGGAGUCCGUGUUGUUGUCAGGGCUGAGCCUCCAUCUCCCCCGCCACAGGGUACCCAUGACCUGUUAAGCACGCGUGGACUCUUUAGGAGAAGAGGCAAAGAGCUCUCUGAGGCGGAGGCGGAGGCGGAGGGGUUAGUGGCAGCUUAGGCUGCGAGACAGCGUGGAGGAGAAUGGGAGCAAAGGGACAGGGCUCGGGAGGCUCAGUCAGGCUCUGAAAUCAACGUGAUGUCACACAGCCCCG
RNAcentral lists this long non-coding RNA (5281 nucleotides) under Marmota monax (woodchuck). Lineage: Eukaryota; Metazoa; Chordata; Mammalia; Rodentia; Sciuridae. The record is from RNAcentral.